UGUUAUGGCAGCUGUGCGCGGGACGCCUUUGGGCGUGCCGGAUCUUUGGUCCCCGGUUUCCAACCUGCGCACAGCCGCCACCCAC
Molecule: non-coding RNA, 85 nt
Organism: Pseudomonas sp.
Lineage: Bacteria; Pseudomonadati; Pseudomonadota; Gammaproteobacteria; Pseudomonadales; Pseudomonadaceae
Source: Rfam